This 842-nucleotide long non-coding RNA is filed under the name Anser cygnoides (Swan goose). RNAcentral describes it as "lncRNA (ENSACDG00005012783.1)". Lineage: Eukaryota; Metazoa; Chordata; Aves; Anseriformes; Anatidae. The record is from RNAcentral.
CUCCGGGCCAGCCGAGAAGUUGCAACCGGUUGAGCGAAAUGUUUGCGCUUGGGGUUCGGUUUCUGCGUUUUUAUUUUUAUUUAUUUAUUUAUUUCCCUUGCACUUACCGCAGCUCAAAAAAGCAUGCCCCGAGGCUGCUCCCUGCGGUCGGGUCUGAGAGCAGGGGCGCCCCAGAGCAAAGCGCAGCAAACGCUGGCGGUGAGGGGAGGGCAGGGAUUUGGCUCGCCCCGACAGGGGCAGCUCCGGGGGGUGCUGGGCUCCUAGGGGGGCUCCCAGCCCCAAGGGGCUCCGGGGGAAGCGCUGCAGGGAGAAGUGAAGGGGAGCCAGGGGUGCGGGACCCCCCCCAGCUCUGCCCCGGACCCCGGGGGUCGCGGAGCCCGUGGGCAGCGGGAGACCCGGCCCCUCCGGGGCAUUUUUGGGAAGAAUUAGAUGGUUUCUCCGCCCCUUCCCCUGGAGCACAGAGCGACGUGUCAGCCCCACAGGGUGCCGGAGAGGGCCGGCGGCGUGGACGGGCCGGGGAGACGUGGCACCGAGGCAUCUUCCACAGCCACUUCUCUGAACUGACAUCUUCAAAAUGAAGAGCAAGAAUGAAGUUAUCCCAGCUCCACUGAGAUUACCGAGGUUUUAUUUUUUCUACAUAAGGAGAUUUGGAGUUCAUAUAAGAGACCGUGCUAGAUUAAAGAAACUGAAAUUAAGUUAACCUUGUAAGUCCAUCAUUGUGCUUUAAAUACUACCAGAAGACACAAAAAGGAGACCGAGAUUAUAAUGUGUACGCACCUUGAAGUACCUCAUCUCUAAUGGACUUCCUCUAUUCAGAGCAGAAAGUGGGGGCCUGUGAAGGG